GACGAACGCUGGCGGCGUGCCUAAUACAUGCAAGUCGAGCGGACUGAUUAAGAGCUUGCUCUUAUGACGUUAGCGGCGGACGGGUGAGUAACACGUGGGCAACCUGCCCUGUAGAUCGGGAUAACACCGAGAAAUCGGUGCUAAUACCGGGUAAUAUCUGAGAUCACAUGAUCUUAGGUUAAAAGAUGGCUCCGGCUAUCACUACAGGCUGGGCCCGCGGCGCAUUAGCUAGUUGGUAAGGUAAUGGCUUACCAAGGCGACGAUGCGUAGCCGACCUGAGAGGGUGAUCGGCCACACUGGGACUGAGACACGGCCCAGACUCCUACGGGAGGCAGCAGUAGGGAAUCUUCCGCAAUGGACGAAAGUCUGACGGAGCAACGCCGCGUGAGUGAUGAAGGGGUUCGGCUCGUAAAGCUCUGUUGUUAGGGAAGAAACAGUACCGAACGAACUAGGUCGGUACCUUGACGGUACCUAAACAGAAAGCCACGGCUAACUACGUG
This 500-nucleotide ribosomal RNA is filed under the name uncultured bacterium. RNAcentral's name for it is "partial 16S ribosomal RNA". It matches the Rfam family "Bacterial small subunit ribosomal RNA", at positions 28 to 507 of the family's 1533-position model. The record is from RNAcentral.